Molecule: unclassified non-coding RNA, 235 nt
Filed under: uncultured fungus
Lineage: Eukaryota; Fungi
Description: sequence contains ITS1, 5.8S rRNA gene
Rfam family: 5.8S ribosomal RNA (bases 187-235)
Source: RNAcentral
UCUCCGUUGGUGAACCAGCGGAGGGAUCAUUACAGGACUCGAAAGACUCCCGUAACCCCUGUGAACAUACCUAUAUUCGUUGCCUCGGCGGGUGCUCCGGUUCACUCCGGGGCGCUACGCCCGCCGGUGGCCCCUUUAACUCUGUUACCUAUAAGUAAUCUGAGCGUACUUUAAAAAUAAAGUCAAAACUUUCAACAACGGAUCUCUUGGUUCUGGCAUCGAUGAAGAACGCAGC